RNAcentral lists this ribosomal RNA (301 nucleotides) under uncultured bacterium. RNAcentral describes it as "partial 16S ribosomal RNA". It matches the Rfam family "Bacterial small subunit ribosomal RNA", at positions 512 to 810 of the family's 1533-position model. The record is from RNAcentral.
CAGCCGCGGUAAUACGUAGGGUGCGAGCGUUAAUCGGAAUUACUGGGCGUAAAGCGUGCGCAGGCGGUUUGUUAAGACAGAUGUGAAAUCCCCGGGCUUAACCUGGGAACUGCAUUUGUGACUGGCCGGCUAGAGUAUGGCAGAGGGAGGUGGAAUUCCACGUGUAGCAGUGAAAUGCGUAGAUAUGUGGAGGAACACCGAUGGCGAAGGCAGCCUCCUGGGCCAAUACUGACGCUCAUGCACGAAAGCGUGGGGAGCAAACAGGAUUAGAUACCCCUGUAGUCCCUGUCUCUUAUACACA